This 253-nucleotide ribosomal RNA is filed under the name uncultured bacterium. RNAcentral's name for it is "partial 16S ribosomal RNA". It matches the Rfam family "Bacterial small subunit ribosomal RNA", at positions 526 to 779 of the family's 1533-position model. The record is from RNAcentral.
CGUAGGGCGCAAGCGUUGUCCGGAAUUAUUGGGCGUAAAGAGCUCGUAGGCGGUUUGUCGCGUCUGCUGUGAAAACCCGAGGCUCAACCUCGGGCCUGCAGUGGGUACGGGCAGACUAGAGUGCGGUAGGGGAGACUGGAAUUCCUGGUGUAGCGGUGGAAUGCGCAGAUAUCAGGAGGAACACCGAUGGCGAAGGCAGGUCUCUGGGCCGCAACUGACGCUGAGGAGCGAAAGCAUGGGAGCGAACAGGAUU